This 1880-nucleotide long non-coding RNA is filed under the name Homo sapiens (human). RNAcentral's name for it is "HSALNT0341359". The record is from RNAcentral. Lineage: Eukaryota; Metazoa; Chordata; Mammalia; Primates; Hominidae.
CUGAUCUGAAGUGAUCUGCCCACCUCGGCUUCCCAAAGUGCUGGGAUUACAGGCGUGAGCCACUGCGCCUGGCCCCUUCAGGUGGGUAUUGAGGCUUCACUACAAUACUAGUUCCCCGUUGCUGCCGCAAUAAAUUACCACACACUUAGUGGCUUAAAACAGCACAGAGGUAUUCCUUUACAUUUCUGAAGGCCAGAAUUCUAAAGUCAGUCCCACUGAGUCAACGUGGGAGCAGGGUCAGUGCCUUCCCAGGCUCUGCGGGAGAAUCUGUUUCCUGGCCCUGGAGGCGGCCUGUACUCCUCAGCUUGUGCUGCCCUUCUCGAAUGACUCGCGUUUCCUGCUUUCAUCACUACACCUCCCACCGCUCUCCAUCACCUGCUCUGCUCUUAUAAGGAUCCAGUUUUCAGAAAAAUGGAAUAGUCGUAUCACUGAUCUACGUAAACAAGUUGAAGAAUUGUCUGAAAGAAAAUACAGUGUGUCUAAACUGGAAAAGUCCUGUAAUAGUUUGUUCAUGAGCAUUUACACAAUGGAGUUGCUGUUUCAUCAUGGGGGUACUGUGGACAAACCCAGGGCUGCUGACAUGAACUUAUGAAUUCAACACAUGAAGAUUUACAGCUUGACAAACCAGCUUCAGGAGACCUCAUGUGUCCCAGGCAGAGUCUCCAUUCCCCUUUUCAGGAGCUCCUCUCAGGGUCUACCAGCUGCCCAAGCCAGAUGCCCAGGAGUUACGCUGAGGUGUGAUUUCCUGCCUUCCCACAUCCAGCCUAGCAAGGCCUCCUGACUCCGCCCUGAACAGAAAGCUCAGAUCCUACCCCAUCCUCCUUCACUGCCCUCCAGCUCUCAGUGGGAGUCAUGCCACAGCGCAGCCAGGGAUUGUGCUGCAUUCGAACAUAGGUUCUGCCAUCAAACACAGAAUGCCCUGAUCCUUAGAGGCAGAGGCAGCUCUUCAGCCUAUGGGGGAGGCAGACCAGUUUUACAAAUAGCUGCUGGCCUGGAGAAUAACAGUUUCUACCAAGUGAGUGGUUAAAAAAGGCAGCCUGGAAAAAUAACUGUGGGAUGGAAUCCUGACUACUCUGUGUCUGAUGACUGGAACUUACCGAGCGCUGCUUAGUUGCAUCAUAGACACCACCUGUCUUUGAACAGCUACCCUGCCUCUUGAUGAGAAUGCAAAGGCUGCCAGGGGCCACUGCUGUAUGGAGUGGAUUUCGGUCAUUUCUGCUUAGAGCACAGAGCUCAAGCUGUUGGACUCGCCGAGGCAGUAAAAGUACCAUAUCCUGUGUUUGAAUCAAACUCCAAUUUCCUGUAUAUAGAAGGCUUGCCAGACAGGAUUCCCUUCCGAAGCCCUACCUGGUUUGGAAUUCCAUGACUUGAAAGGAUCCUUCGUGGGAGUAAUAAAAUCAAGUUUGUUGUUAAAAACUUUGCAGUCCCCAAAAAAACCAUGAAGCCCUGAGAGUAAUGAAAAGCUUCCUGACAUUGAGGUCACUGUGGAAGAACCACCUAAGCUAAAGAUUCUUUUGAGAACAAGGGCUAGCCUGUGGUUUCAUGGCCUUUCUUCCAUUUGGGGUUCUUGCCAAGUGGAAUUUAAAUGACCUCUUAUCAAGAUGGAUAAACCCAAGUUUCCCAGUGCUGGAAUACAGAAAAUGGAUGGACAAGAUGUCUUUUUGUCACUUCCAGCUGGAUCUACCAUGAAAGACGUCAGAGUCCAGGAAGAGAGACUGACUGGGCAACAUGUUAUUCAGAAUUAGAGAAGAUGAUGUGGUGAUGGAAGAAGAGGUCAGAGAGGGAGAUUUGAAGAUGUUGCAGUUCUGGCCUUCAAGAUGGAGUCAGGGGCUAUCUUCAAGAGAGAAGAUCUUGAUCUGUGGCCCAGGCUGCAGUACAGU